AAAUUGAAGAGUUUGAUCAUGGCUCAGAUUGAACGCUGGCGGCAGGCCUAACACAUGCAAGUCGAGCGGUAGCACAGAGAGCUUGCUCUCGGGUGACGAGCGGCGGACGGGUGAGUAAUGUCUGGGAAACUGCCUGAUGGAGGGGGAUAACUACUGGAAACGGUAGCUAAUACCGCAUAACGUCGCAAGACCAAAGUGGGGGACCUUCGGGCCUCAUGCCAUCAGAUGUGCCCAGAUGGGAUUAGCUAGUAGGUGGGGUAACGGCUCACCUAGGCGACGAUCCCUAGCUGGUCUGAGAGGAUGACCAGCCACACUGGAACUGAGACACGGUCCAGACUCCUACGGGAGGCAGCAGUGGGGAAUAUUGCACAAUGGGCGCAAGCCUGAUGCAGCCAUGCCGCGUGUGUGAAGAAGGCCUUCGGGUUGUAAAGCACUUUCAGCGGGGAGGAAGGCGGUGAGGUUAAUAACCUCAUCGAUUGACGUUACCCGCAGAAGAAGCACCGGCUAACUCCGUGCCAGCAGCCGCGGUAAUACGGAGGGUGCAAGCGUUAAUCGGAAUUACUGGGCGUAAAGCGCACGCAGGCGGUCUGUCAAGUCGGAUGUGAAAUCCCCGGGCUCAACCCGGGAACUGCAUUCGAAACUGGCAGGCUAGAGUCUUGUAGAGGGGGGUAGAAUUCCAGGUGUAGCGGUGAAAUGCGUAGAGAUCUGGAGGAAUACCGGUGGCGAAGGCGGCCCCCUGGACAAAGACUGACGCUCAGGUGCGAAAGCGUGGGGAGCAAACAGGAUUAGAUACCCUGGUAGUCCACGCCGUAAACGAUGUCGAUUUGGAGGUUGUGCCCUUGAGGCGUGGCUUCCGGAGCUAACGCGUUAAAUCGACCGCCUGGGGAGUACGGCCGCAAGGUUAAAACUCAAAUGAAUUGACGGGGGCCCGCACAAGCGGUGGAGCAUGUGGUUUAAUUCGAUGCAACGCGAAGAACCUUACCUGGUCUUGACAUCCACAGAACUUUCCAGAGAUGGAUUGGUGCCUUCGGGAACUGUGAGACAGGUGCUGCAUGGCUGUCGUCAGCUCGUGUUGUGAAAUGUUGGGUUAAGUCCCGCAACGAGCGCAACCCUUAUCCUUUGUUGCCAGCGGUCCGGCCGGGAACUCAAAGGAGACUGCCAGUGAUAAACUGGAGGAAGGUGGGGAUGACGUCAAGUCAUCAUGGCCCUUACGACCAGGGCUACACACGUGCUACAAUGGCAUAUACAAAGAGAAGCGACCUCGCGAGAGCAAGCGGACCUCAUAAAGUAUGUCGUAGUCCGGAUUGGAGUCUGCAACUCGACUCCAUGAAGUCGGAAUCGCUAGUAAUCGUAGAUCAGAAUGCUACGGUGAAUACGUUCCCGGGCCUUGUACACACCGCCCGUCACACCAUGGGAGUGGGUUGCAAAAGAAGUAGGUAGCUUAACCUUCGGGAGGGCGCUUACCACUUUGUGAUUCAUGACUGGGGUGAAGUCGUAACAAGGUAACCGUAGGGGAACCUGCGGUUGGAUCACCUCCUUA
RNAcentral lists this ribosomal RNA (1540 nucleotides) under Klebsiella pneumoniae. RNAcentral's name for it is "bacterial SSU rRNA". It matches the Rfam family "Bacterial small subunit ribosomal RNA". The record is from RNAcentral. Lineage: Bacteria; Pseudomonadati; Pseudomonadota; Gammaproteobacteria; Enterobacterales; Enterobacteriaceae.